CUCCGUAUGCAGCCAGGGCUGGCCCGGCAUUCUCUUUGUGGACAAGCUGGUCUCAAAUCCAGAGAGAUCCAUGUCCAGACUCACACGUGCACCUAGCACUGGACAAGAGAGCAACCCGGUGACCCAGUGCGUUAUGAGGAAAGAAUCGGCACCACGUACCAGUCCGGAUUUAUUGAAAAUGCGGCACUAAUUAAAAACUCACCCAGCCUCUUGAC
Molecule: long non-coding RNA, 215 nt
Organism: Microtus ochrogaster (prairie vole)
Lineage: Eukaryota; Metazoa; Chordata; Mammalia; Rodentia; Cricetidae
Source: RefSeq, a predicted model, not a curated record